This 282-nucleotide ribosomal RNA is filed under the name uncultured bacterium. RNAcentral describes it as "partial 16S ribosomal RNA". It matches the Rfam family "Bacterial small subunit ribosomal RNA", at positions 69 to 354 of the family's 1533-position model. The record is from RNAcentral.
CUUGCCUGCACCUGCCGGCGACCGGCGCACGGGUGAGUAACACGUAUGGAACCUGCCCGCCACAGGGGGAUAACCCGGGGAAACCCGGCCUAAUACCCCAUGCCGCCCGGACCGGGCAUCCGGUCCGGGCGAAAGGAGGAAUCCGGUGGCGGCUGGGCAUGCGGCGCAUUAGCUUGACGGCGGGGUAACGGCCCACCGUGGCGACGAUGCGUAGGGGUUCUGAGAGGAAGGCCCCCCACACUGGAACUGAGACACGGUCCGGACUCCUACGGGAGGCAGCAG